Podarcis lilfordi (Lilford's wall lizard) is the source of this 74-nucleotide non-coding RNA. The record is from the annotation of a GenBank genome assembly. Lineage: Eukaryota; Metazoa; Chordata; Lepidosauria; Squamata; Lacertidae.
ACCUGCGAUAGCUCAGCUGGUACAGCAUGAGGCUGGUAAUCUUAGGGUUAUGGGUUCGAGUCCCACAUUGGGUG